Long non-coding RNA from Danio rerio (zebrafish), 3733 nucleotides. Lineage: Eukaryota; Metazoa; Chordata; Actinopteri; Cypriniformes; Danionidae. The record is from Ensembl.
AUGAAGAGCAGGUGUGCGGAGAUGGAGAAGCAGAUCCCGUCACAGCCGGAGGACCAGAGAGAGCAGAUGAUGCUGCAGCUACAACAGGAGAAGGAUGCUCUGGAGGCCACGCUGCGAGUGUUUGAGGACCUGGAGUUCAGCAUUCUGGAGCUGGAGAGCGGAGUCGAAGAAGAGCGAGACGGGGAGGAUGGAGAGACGGAAACCGUCAUCGAGACAGAAAUAACCAGAGUACAACACACACGCAACGCCUCUCAGGAACGAGUGCAGCAUCUGGAGAAGCAGCUGAAGGAGAUGGAGAAGGAGAAGGAGAAAACACUGAGCUCCCUCCGGCAGGAGAAGAAAGAGCUGCUGCACAGGACACACCGGAUUUUGAAAGAGAAAAAGCCGCUCACUGAUUGGUCCAACAUCACCGGCUCCACCCCCUGCAUGAUGUCACUCAGCCCUCUGACCAUUCACAGGGCAGCACAGGAGUCUCUGAAGGACUCGUGUAGUUUACCACGCAGACGCAGCUCUCACAGGAAGACCACAGACAGACCCGUGUCUGCGCAAGGUGAGAACAACAACUCUCUAAAGCAGGAGUCACCAAUCUCGGUCCUGGAGGGCCGGCGUCCCUUCAGGGUUUAGCUCCAACUUGCCUCAACACACCAGCCUGGAUGUUUCAAGUAUACCUAGUAAGAGCUUGAUCAGCUUGUUCAGGUGUGUUUGAUUAGAGUUGGAGCUAAAAUCUGCAGGACACCGGUGACCCCUGCUCUAAAGGCUAUUCCUCACUGAAUACAAAUUUUUGUCUGUAAAUUUUAUACAUUAAAAAAAAUAAUUCUACCUCAAGUUGUAUCAGUCAAAUUCACACACGAUAGCUGCGUCGCAAAUCGCAUACUUAUGCACUAUUCUACGCCAUUUUGUAGUAUAAAUAGUGUAAGUAGUGCGUUCACACUGAAAACUCUAAUAAUAAUAAGUGCACUUUAAUUACCCUGGAUGAUGCAUUCAUUCAGCCGCUAAAGUGAAGUGUGUAUUGAUGGACACUUCACGCACUCAACGACCGCAGGUUUGCUUACGUAGCGGAAGGGGCGGAGCUAUCGGGCGCACAUGUUAAAUAACUUUAUUUGUUUUGGAUGGUGAAAGCAAAAUUCUCCUACGAAAGUGAUUAUAGCGCCUCCCGAUGGUGAAUGCAGGUAUUAUUUGAUAGUUCGGUCGUUUAUUUCACUGAUUUGGCAACCGUCAAACGUCAUCAGGGAAACGGGUUGAAUUUCCGCUUAUUAGGAAAACAUUAGUGGUCCAUUUGGGACGACACUACAUACAUAUACUAUAUUGUUGAGUGUGUAAGUGCAUAAGUACAAAGUGCAUGAGUGCAUAGUGUAUAGUGUGCCAUUUAGGUCGCAGCUGAUCUCCGAAAGUUUUCUCCGUCAUUAAAAAAUUCAGAAAAAAAAAAUUCAGAAAAAGAAUUUUGACAGGUGUUUUGACAAUAACUGGCCACCGUACAAGCAAAAGGCUAAUAUAUAUAUAUAUAAGCAAAUUAUGGAAUAUUUGAGCAAUAUUACUCGAGUGGCAGUGCGGUAUGGCUGUAUAUAGGCACUGCUGGGCACUGCUUUAGCCGUGUCGCGGCUUCGAGCAGCACAUCCAUUGCCUCAGUCAAAGAUUAUUCAGUGUGCGUGGUUAUUAGUGUCAGUGUACAAGCUCGGCACUUGAAACUAGCACACAGUUGGCUGUAAAAUAGAGGUCUGCAUUCCGAAUAAAGCGCGGGAGCGGCCGAUAACCGGUUUAAUUUGGGACGGGAGCGGGCUGUCUAGCAAAAUUGCUCCCGACUCCCGAGCGAGGACGCUUAUGUUUGUGUGUAAAUGAAAUAGCGCGAUGCUGUGUUUAGCUUGUUUGUUGCUGUGUGUGUGUGUGGAUGUAUGUGUGUGGCAUGCGCGAAUGAGAGGUGUGUGUGUGCGAAUGAGAGAGAGAGCUUUGCCUGUGUGUGUGCGCUUGGUGCUUGUGUGUGUGUGUGUGUGUGUGUGUGUGUUAAUGCGCGUGCGCGAAUGAGAAAUAGAGAGAGAGAGCUUUCUCUAUGUGUGUGUGCUUGGUGCUAUGUGUGUGUGUGUUUAUACAGACAGCUUGUUAUAGGCUGUCUGGACUCUGUAUAGCUGGGUGGUAUUCGCUUUUGUUCUCCCCCCGCUCUUUGGCUGGAUCGGGCGCGGCGGGUAGAAAACGGGGCGGGUCGGGCAGCGGGCGAGAGAGGGAUUCAAAGUUUGGUCCCGCGCAGAUCUCUACUGUAAAACUAUACAGAGACACAAAUGAUUUUGUACUCUCUGCUUGGUCUGUGUCCGAGUCGUACAUGUAUCCUAGCUUAGCUUCUCCCUGUCUGCCUGUCUGAUGUACACACAGAGCGUGGGAGCUCCGCCCCCUUGUUACAAUUGGCGGCAAGCCGAAACUAAUUUUCAUGUGAAGCAACACACCCCUAAAACAACGAGCUGUGUACACACCCACAACAUGACACUUUUAUAACACAUUAUAAUAAACACAUCUGAACUGUGUGUUGAACUGAACCUGAACUGGCACACUCAGAACAACCAGAAUAUUAAUAUUAAAUCAGAAAAAGUGGUGAUUUAUGUGCCCUUUAAAUUUAACAUUAUGAUAUCUGCAGAAACCCUGUUAAUAUUCUGUGUCAGUUGGAAGUACAUCAACAUACUGAAAUAAAUGCCUCUGCAGCUUCCGGGUCAUGUGGAGUUUAGCACAGUGCAGUUUUGCAUUGUCAUCUGGACAGAGAAAUACUCAUGUACGUGUGGACGUGGCCUGAAACACUCACUCAAAUCAGCUUUCAGAGCAGACUGUUGAGAAACAGCUCAACGGCGGAGCGUGUCGCAGCAGAUUUGUCUGUGUAAAGGUGUGCCGUGUUUCUGGAAAAGCCUGUAAAUCCGCCUGCUGUGCUUUUGUUUGUCUCAUAUUCCCGACAGUGGUUUAUCUGUCAGAACAGCACAGUCUUACACACCGGUGACUCAGACAUCAUACUAAUAUCACAGAUAAUGAUUGAUGGACUGAAUGUGACUUUUAUGUCACUUCCUGUUUGAUUCCAACCUUUAGAAAAUACGGAUGGAGGAGAAUUAGAGGUGGGGAUGUGCAGUACUGGGAAAUUGUGCGAUAUUCAUUCAUUCAUUUCCUUCAGCUUAGUCCCUUUAUUAAUCCAGGAUCGCCACAGCGGAAUGAACCGCCAACUUAUCCAGCACAUGUUUUAUGCUCCGGAUGCCUUCCAGUUGCAACCCAGUAUUGGGAAGCACCCAUACACACUCAUUCACACACACACACACUACAGUCAAUUUAGCAUACCCCAGGCAUGUCCAAACUCAGUCCUGGAGGUCCAGUGUCCUGCAAAGUUUAGUUCCAACCCCAAUCAGACACACCUGGGCUAGCUAAUCAAGCUCUCACUAGGCUUUCUAGAAACAUCCAUGCAGGUGUGUUGAGGCAAGAUGGAGAUCAAAUCUGCAGGACACCAGCCCUCCAGGACCGAGUUUGGACAUCCCUGGCCUACCCAAUUGUGGGGGAAACUGGAGCACCCGGAGGAAACCCACACGAACACAGGGAGAACAUGCAAACUCCACAUAGAAACGCCAACUGACCCAGCCGAGGCUCGAACCAGCGACCUUCUUGCUGUGAAGCGACAGCACUACCUACUGCGCCACUGUGUUGCCGACUAUUUCAAUAACUUAUCUUAAAUAUUUCCUAGUAUUUUAAAUAUAUUCAGCAUUUUUUUCUAUGAAGA